This 439-nucleotide long non-coding RNA is filed under the name Solanum lycopersicum (tomato). RNAcentral describes it as "long non-coding RNA (SLYC_LNC000834)". The record is from RNAcentral. Lineage: Eukaryota; Viridiplantae; Streptophyta; Magnoliopsida; Solanales; Solanaceae.
AUGUUUAAUUAAUAGAAAGACUUUGGUAGUAAACCAUUUCAAUGAAAAAUGGUUGACUCCAAAAUACUUGGAAUCUUUCAAUAGAAUAUGAUCUAAUCAAUUAUUCUUAUAAAAUAUUUUUAAACAUUUUAAACCAAGUAGUUAAAAUAAAAAUUCGUCCCUUAGAUGAGUAGUAGCAUUGGUACGUGCACUUUUGGUUUGGUUUGAUAUUAGUGUGGCUCAAGGGACAAAUCUGUGAGGUCUGUUGGGCCAAUACGUACCACGGACAUUAGAAUACAUAUUUAUUCUCAAAAAAAAUGCGAAAAAGUCGAUCAGUACCUUAAAAAAAAUGUUGCAGAAAACUGUUCUCUCCCUCCAGCUCCUGUAAACAACAAAUUAGAUAAAAAGCAAUGUAAUUCAUCUCCUUAUAUGGAUGCAAAGUACUCUUUGCUGCCCUUGG